UGCAGGAGUGUAGGAUAACGC
RNAcentral lists this microRNA (21 nucleotides) under Vriesea carinata. RNAcentral describes it as "vca-miR10210-3p". Lineage: Eukaryota; Viridiplantae; Streptophyta; Magnoliopsida; Poales; Bromeliaceae. The record is from miRBase by way of RNAcentral.